CAGCAGCCGCGGUAAUACGGAGGGUGCAAGCGUUGUUCGGAUUUACUGGGCGUAAAGCGCGCGCAGGUGGGCGUGCAAGUCGGAAGUGAAAUCCUGGGGCUCAACCCUGGGGCUGCUUCCGAAACUGCAGGUCUAGGGACUGGUAGAGGCUGGUAGAAUUCCCGGUGUAGCGGUGGAAUGCGUAGAGAUCGGGAAGAAUACCCGUGGCGAAGGCGGCCAGCUGGGCCAGGUCCGACACUGAGGCGCGAAAGCGUGGGGAGCAAACAGGAUUAGAUACCCUGGUAGUCCACGCCGUAAACGAUGGGCACUAGGCGCUGGUGGGAGCGACCCCUUCAGUGCCGCAGCUAACGCGAUAAGUGCCCCGCCUGGGGAGUACGGCCGCAAGGCUGAAACUCAAAG
This 399-nucleotide ribosomal RNA is filed under the name uncultured bacterium. Its description in RNAcentral is "bacterial SSU rRNA". It matches the Rfam family "Bacterial small subunit ribosomal RNA", at positions 509 to 906 of the family's 1533-position model. The record is from RNAcentral.